This 274-nucleotide ribosomal RNA is filed under the name uncultured bacterium. Its description in RNAcentral is "partial 16S ribosomal RNA". It matches the Rfam family "Bacterial small subunit ribosomal RNA", at positions 523 to 796 of the family's 1533-position model. The record is from RNAcentral.
AUACAGAGGGUGCGAGCGUUAAUCGGAAUUACUGGGCGUAAAGCGCGCGUAGGCGGCUUAUUAAGUCAGAUGUGAAAUCCCCGGGCUCAACCUGGGAACUGCAUCUGAUACUGGUAAGCUAGAGUUUUGGAGAGGGAAGUAGAAUUUCAGGUGUAGCGGUGAAAUGCAUAGAGAUCUGAAGGAAUACCAGUGGCGAAGGCGACUUCCUGGCCUAAAACUGACGCUGAGGUGCGAAAGCGUGGGUAGCAAACGGGAUUAGAAACCCCAGUAGUCC